Molecule: ribosomal RNA, 467 nt
Filed under: uncultured bacterium
Lineage: Bacteria
Description: partial 16S ribosomal RNA
Rfam family: Bacterial small subunit ribosomal RNA
Source: RNAcentral
ACGAACGCUGGCGGCGUGCUUCACACAUGCAAGUCGAACGGAAAGGCCCUGCUUUUGUGGGGUGCUCGAGUGGCGAACGGGUGGGUAACACGUGAGUAACCUGCCCUUGACUUUGGGAUAACUUCAGGAAACUGGGGCUAAUACCGGAUAGGAGCUCCUGCUGCAUGGUGGGGGUUGGAAAGUUUCGGCGGUUGGGGAUGGACUCGCGGCUUAUCAGCUUGUUGGUGGGGUAGUGGCUUACCAAGGCUUUGACGGGUAGCCGGCCUGAGAGGGUGACCGGCCACAUUGGGACUGAGAUACGGCCCAGACUCCUACGGGAGGCAGCAGUGGGGAAUAUUGCACAAUGGGCGGAAGCCUGAUGCAGCAACGCCGCGUGCGGGAUGACGGCCUUCGGGUUGUAAACCGCUUUCGCCUGUGACGAAGCGUGAGUGACGGUAAUGGGUAAAGAAGCACCGGCUAACUACGUG